Molecule: ribosomal RNA, 253 nt
Filed under: uncultured bacterium
Lineage: Bacteria
Description: partial 16S ribosomal RNA
Rfam family: Bacterial small subunit ribosomal RNA
Source: RNAcentral
UACGUAGGGGGCAAGCGUUGUCCGGAAUCAUUGGGCGUAAAGCGCGCGUAGGCGGCCCGGUAAGUCCGUUGUGAAAGUCAAAGGCUCAACCUUUGAACGCCGAUGGAUACUGCCGGGCUAGAGUCCGGAAGAGGCGAGUGGAAUUCCUGGUGUAGCGGUGGAAUGCGCAGAUAUCAGGAGGAACACCAAUUGCGAAGGCAGCUCGCUGGGACGUUACUGACGCUGAGACGCGAAAGCGUGGGGAGCAAACAGG